GCGGACGCUGCCUACUGGUGGCCGGGCGGGAUGUAACCGGCUGCUGAGCUGGCAGUUCUGUGUCGCUAGGCUUCUGCCCGGCCGCCGCCGCACAUAAGCCACGAGGAGGAGCUUUACGACUUCCCGGUCUUCGGCGCCGGGCGCAGCAAGGGCCAGACUCUGCGCUAGCAGGCGCUGCGCGCCAACCGGCCGGCACCUGUCGCAGAAGGUGCAACCGAUCGCACUGUCGCGCAGAAGCUCCUCAAUGGCCAGCGCCAGCUGCAGCCCCGGCCGCCCACUCGCCUCAUCUGAGCCUGGCAGAAGGUAAGCAUGAGCAAAUUACUUUUUAGAGGUAACUUUGCUGAACUUGUGAAGAAUGGUGUGCAAGGUCCAGAGCGACUGCAGGAGAGGGAAGGUGGGAUUCCCACAGAGCAGGAGCACAGAUAAGCCAAGCAAGGCCCUGCUUGGAAGGCAGCAAUCAACAGAGAUGCACAGACCUGUGAGGGUGCCGGGACAGCCAUGCAACAAUGCAGCCCUUUUGCUUCCUGAGCUCACCAGUUCCCUCGCUCCACCUCUGAGAGGUGGUUUGGAGAAACACAGCCCUUCUCAAGAGGGCUGCAAGCUACUUAAGUCCUGAAAAUUUCCACAAGGCUGAGUCAAAUCUGCGUUUCAUCAUCUAUAAGAAAGAGCAGACCACAAAGAGCAUGUCUGGACCUAGAACCACAGCAUGUAACCUCGGAAGCAGUGAGACACCAGCCAGCAUGGACAAGCAGCAGGCACUUGCUCUAUACCAGAUAUGCUGCAUGAUAGAACGCUAUGCCCUCUCACAGAUAGGUCCCACCUCCAGCCUUCCCCUGCUGCCAUCUAACAUCCUAAACUCCAGCUCUGAAUGUCUGUCUCCUGCUCUGAAUCUUCAGUGACUUCGAAACUCAAGUCAGGACACCUCUCAGUUUGGCCUCACUGCUCAAGAUUGAGCUGAAUUCAUGACCAUAAUUCAAGCAUUCAGAUUCAUGGGCUGUUUUGUGGGUUUUGCUAUCUCUUAUUUUGUUUUUGCACAUCUUACCCACUGAAACGUUGGGCUGCAAAAAGUUUGAUCACUAAAUAUGUAGGCAAUGCUGGAUACUGGGCUGUUAUUUACAUAUUUGUAUCACCUUUUAUUUCAUAAGAUAGCAUUGUCAGAGUAAUUUAGUAUUUCAACAUAAUCAACAAGUAAAAUAAAAUUAAUGAGAAUGAUC
This is a long non-coding RNA of Homo sapiens (human), 1214 nucleotides long. Ensembl annotates it as long intergenic non-protein coding RNA 1409. Lineage: Eukaryota; Metazoa; Chordata; Mammalia; Primates; Hominidae. The record is from Ensembl.